UUGUCAUGCUUCAAUUUUUAUAUAUACACUAACUACUCGUAGACAUGGGAGGGAGAAGAACAGAACACUGAUCAUGAAGAAAACAACAACACAAGCUUUCCUUCUUCUAUGUUUGCUAUGUCUGUCCUUUCAGGUUCGUGUCAACCAAGCUGGACGUGAGAUAUGCGUAAGUCCCUCCCCACCCUGUGGAGCUCCUCCUAAGAGAAGUGAAGAGUCGCCGGGACAUACUUAUAAAAAACCUUGUAAACCAAUUCCAAGACCACCUCCUCCUCGGGAUUGCUAGCGACGUUGAGCUUUCGACAUAAGCCCACCACAGAUAUAACAUCAAUGUUUCGUUUAGUAACUAUAUCUUACAAGACUAAUUUAUAUGCACGGUGUGCAAACGAUAUCACUUAAUUAUGCUAUUGUAAUUUCUUUCAAAGACUCAUGUAUAGUACUGGUCCCAAAAAAAAUAUUAAUUAAUAAGAGAGAUGAUAAUAACAAUGUUAAAUA
Molecule: long non-coding RNA, 492 nt
Organism: Capsella rubella
Lineage: Eukaryota; Viridiplantae; Streptophyta; Magnoliopsida; Brassicales; Brassicaceae
Exons: 2
Source: RefSeq, a predicted model, not a curated record